GCAUAUCAAUAAGCGGAGGAAAAGAAACCAACAGGGAUUGCCUCAGUAACGGCGAGUGAAGCGGCAACAGCUCAAAUUUGAAAUCUGGCCCUAGGCCCGAGUUGUAAUUUGCAGAGGAUGCUUUUGGUGCGGUGCCUUCCAAGUUCCCUAGAACGGGACGCCAGAGAGGGUGAGAGCCCCGUACAGUUGGACACCAAGCCUUUGUAAAGCUCCUUCGACGAGUCGAGUAGUUUGGGAAUGCUGCUCAAAAUGGGAGGUAUAUUUCUUCUAAAGCUAAAUACCGGCCAGAGACCGAUAGCGCACAAGUAGAGUGAUCGAAAGAUGAAAAGCACUUUGAAAAGAGGGUUAAACAGCACGUGAAAUUGUUAAAAGGGAAGCGCUUGUGACCAGACUUGCGUCCGGUGAAUCACCCAGCUCUCGCGGCUGGGGCACUUCGCCGGCUCAGGCCAGCAUCAGCUCGCUGUCGGGGACAAAAGCUUCAGGAACGUAGCUCUCUUCGGGGAGUGUUAUAGCCUGUUGCACAAUACCCUUCGGCGGGCUGAGGUACGCGCUCCGCAAGGAUGCUGGCAUAAUGGUCAUCAGCGACCCGUCUUGAAACACGGACCAAGGAGUCAACCUUAUGUGCGAGUGUUCGGGUGUCAAACCCCUACGCGUAAUGAAAGUGAACGCAGGUGAGAGCUUCGGCGCAUCAUCGACCGAUCCUGAUGUUCUCGGAUGGAUUUGAGUAAGAGCAUAUAGGGUUGGACCCGAAAGAAGGUGAACUAUGCGUGUAUAGGGUGAAGCCAGAGGAAACUCUGGUGGAGGCUCGCAGCGGUUCUGACGUGCAAAUCGAUCGUCAAAUAUGCGCAUGGGGGCGAAAGAAUAAUCGAACCUUCUAGUAGCUGGUUUCCGCCGAAGUUUCCC
Molecule: ribosomal RNA, 903 nt
Filed under: Colletotrichum tropicale
Lineage: Eukaryota; Fungi; Ascomycota; Sordariomycetes; Glomerellales; Glomerellaceae
Description: LSU rRNA
Rfam family: Eukaryotic large subunit ribosomal RNA
Source: RNAcentral